CCGAGUUAUCAACUCCCAAACCCAUGUAACUUUUGUGCCUAGGCUUGGUAUCGCCCGGGCCUCCGGGCCCGGGACCAGGCGCCCGCCCGCAGGACCCCUUAAACUCUUGUUUUUCUAUAUGCAUCUCUGCAGUGAAUAAGCAAAUUAAAUCAUUA
RNAcentral lists this unclassified non-coding RNA (155 nucleotides) under soil metagenome. RNAcentral describes it as "partial internal transcribed spacer 1". The record is from RNAcentral.